UACGGGGGGGGCAAGCGUUGUUCGGAAUUACUGGGCGUAAAGGGUUCGUAGGUGGCCAACUAAGUCAUACGUGAAAUCCCUCAGCUUAACUGGGGAACUGCGUCUGAUACUGGUUGGCUUGAGUGCAGGAGAGGAACGCGGAAUUCCAGGUGUAGCGGUGAAAUGCGUAGAUAUCUGGAGGAACACCGGUGGCGAAGGCGGCAUCCUGGACCAACACUGACACUGAGGAGCGAAAGCCAGGGGGGCAAACGGG
RNAcentral lists this ribosomal RNA (253 nucleotides) under uncultured bacterium. Its description in RNAcentral is "partial 16S ribosomal RNA". It matches the Rfam family "Bacterial small subunit ribosomal RNA", at positions 524 to 776 of the family's 1533-position model. The record is from RNAcentral.